Molecule: ribosomal RNA, 395 nt
Filed under: uncultured bacterium
Lineage: Bacteria
Description: partial 16S ribosomal RNA
Rfam family: Bacterial small subunit ribosomal RNA
Source: RNAcentral
AUACGUAGGGUGCAAGCGUUAAUCGGAAUUACUGGGCGUAAAGCGUGCGCAGGCGGCUUUGUAAGACAGAGGUGAAAUCCCCGGGCUCAACCUGGGAACUGCCUUUGUGACUGCAAGGCUAGAGUACGGCAGAGGGGGGUGGAAUUCCGCGUGUAGCAGUGAAAUGCGUAGAUAUGCGGAGGAACACCGAUGGCGAAGGCAAUCCCCUGGGCCUGUACUGACGCUCAUACACGAAAGCGUGAGGAGCAAACAGGAUUAGAUACCCUGGUAGUCCACGCCCUAAACGAUGUCAACUGGUUGUUGGGUCUUCAUUGACUCAGGAACGAAGCGAACGCGUGAAGUGGACCGCCUGGGGAGUACGGCCGCAAGGUUGAAACUCAAAGGAAUUGACGGGG